Molecule: RNA transcript, 3669 nt
Organism: Gossypium raimondii (Peruvian cotton)
Lineage: Eukaryota; Viridiplantae; Streptophyta; Magnoliopsida; Malvales; Malvaceae
Gene name: protein PEP-RELATED DEVELOPMENT ARRESTED 1, chloroplastic
Exons: 14
Source: RefSeq, a predicted model, not a curated record
UUUUAUUUUUUGUCCUCUGGUAUUUCUCCAAAACCCAAACCCCUUCCCCCCACGAUAGAAAAUGUUGAAGAGCAGUGUCUUCUUCUCCUUCCCUAGUUGUUCCGCUCCAAAUCUUCCUUCGCUCUUCUUCCCCACCUCUGUCCCCUUUAGCUUCUCUACCCCCCACUUCCAUUGCCAAAUAAAACAACUCAAGGUAACGAAGCAGCAAUUCUUCUGCCGCGUGUCCUCCAGCUAUGAAGUUGGUGGAGGCUAUCCUGAUGAAGAACUUGAACGAACUUAUAAAACCCAGACCCAGCAACUUCAAGGCAGUCAGAACUUAGAUUCUUCUCAGUAUGAUGCUUUACUCAAAGGAGGAGACCAAGUCAUUUCUGUUCUUGAAGAAAUUAUUACCCUUUUGGAAGAUAUGAACAUGGAUGAGGCAUCUGAGGAGGUAGCAGUUGAGUUAGCUGCACAAGGAGUAAUUGGGAAAAGGGUUGACGAAAUGGAAUCAGGGUUCAUGAUGGCUCUAGAUUACAUGAUCCAAGUUGCUGAAAAGGACCAAGAUGAUAAGCGAAAGUCGCUGCUUGAGGUGAUUAAGGAGACCGUGCUGGCACAUCUCACAAAAAAAUGUCCCCCGCAUGUUCAAGUGAUUGGACUUCUCUGUAGAACACCCCUGAAAGAAAGCAGACAUGAGCUACUACGCCGAGUUGCUGCAGGUGGUGGUGCUUUCAAAAGUGAAAAUGGCACCAAAGUUCAUCUUCCUGGAGCAAAUCUAAACGAUAUAGCAAACCAGGCUGAUGAUCUACUAGAGACAAUGGAAACUCGGCCAGUUGUUCCAGAUCGAAAACUACUUGCAAGACUUGUUUUGAUCAGAGAGGAAGCUCGAAAUAUGAUGGGAGGUGGGAUACUCGAUGAAAGAAAUGACCGUGGUUUUAGUACACUUCCUGAAUCAGAGGUGAACUUCUUAACAAAGCUUGUAGCGCUGAAACCUGGGAAACCUGUCCAGGAAAUGAUAAAAAAUGUAAUGCUAGGGAAAGAUGAAGGUGCAGACUACUCUGACACUGAUGAAGAAGCUAAUGCCAGUAGAACGAGACCCCGGGGAAUUGCAGGAAGGGGCAGUGUUACAGGGAGAAAACCACUUCCUGUUCGCCCCGGCAUGUUUCUUGAGACUGUGACAAAGGUCUUGGGUGGUAUAUAUAAUGGAAAUGUCUCUGGCAUAACAGCACAGCAUUUAGAAUGGGUUCAUCAGAAAACACUUCAAGUUCUUCAGGAAAUUGCAUUCUAAUUCUUCGAGCUGCUUGUACCAGAAAUUGGAUUACAUCAUAAUCCGCAGUUUACAUCAAAGGAGAGAGAUGAUUCCAUAAGUAGAGGUUAUUUUUGGAGAGAAACGAAAAGCGUGUCUAACUGGAUGCACUUUUCCUCAAUGGUCAAAUCCAAUGGCUUUUUGAACGUUGGCUGUGCAACGGUAAAAAAAUUUAAAAGAGGGACAACGGUCAGUUCUUUUUACCUAUAAAUAUGCCUCAAAUUUUUUUUUUCAUUCACAUAUUAUUCUCUCAAUUCUUUCUAAUCUCUUAACUCUCUCAAUUUUCUCUCAAUUUUUUCAAGUUCUUGUUCUAAAAUUUUUGAUAUUCUCGUUUAAAAAUAUAUUUUUUAAUUAUUUUAUAUUUUGUUCAUUCGGAUUAAGUGUUCACGAAUGACAACCUCUCUAAUUCGUUUCAACGAUAAUCACAUUUUCCCUGCUCAAGUAAUAAUGGCAAAUGAUCGUGUUUUGGAGGCGUUUAUAAAUAAUUUGGCAAAGCCUUCGAUCAUCGAAAUUUGUGGUUACUUGCAAGAGGCAGGAUUUUUGCAUACGUCUCUUAUGCUCGAGGGUCGCAAACUUGAUCCUAAACUCAUCAGUGCAUUGGUGGAAAGAUGAAGGCUUGAGAUACACACUUUUCAUCUUUCAUGCGGCGAGUGUACAAUGACACCAGAGGACAUAAUGUUACAACUCGAUCUGUCGGUGGAUGAGCCAGUUGUCAUGGGAGCAACAAUUGUUCCUAGUAAAGAGGAUCUCUGCGCGACAUUAUUGGGAAAGGUUCCAAACAAGUUUGAUGGUGGUCGGAUAUCGAUGAAUUGGUUAGCAAAAAAUUUUGAAAAGCUUCUUCCGCACGCGACCAAUGUCGUCAAAGAACAAUAUGUCCAAGCAUUCAUCUUUCAGUUAAUCGGAGGCAUUUUAAUGCUCGAUAAAUCUCAAAAUUUCGUGCAUGUAAGGUGGCUACUACACCUAAUAGAGUUCAAAGAAUGCAGACAACUCAGUUGGGGGUCAGUUGUGUUGGCCACGUUAUAUCGAGAGUUAUGUCAGGCCACGGGACUAGAUAAUAUGCAAUUGGUGGUUGCUUGCUCCUACUACAGUCGUGGGCAUAAUGGCAGCUACCAUUUUUAGGUCCUCGAGUAAACGACCCAUAUAUGUUUCUGUUGGUGACAAGAUGGAACCAUGGGUUGAGUUACGUAGGACUACCCGAGGAGUUGGAAGAUAUUAGGUUGCUGUUAGAUCAACGCUUGGAAGUCGAUUUUAAAUUGAUGUCAUACGCCGACACCGAUAUUAUAUCUUGUAUCCCGCCAGAAGUGUUGGUCAAUCGAGAGAUGUGGGACACAAAUGUGACGUUGAUAGUGUAUGUAACGAUGGAAAUGCAUGAAUCGAACUGGGUGAUGCGACAAUUCGGGUGGAGGCAACAAAUUUCGUUGGCAUCGCGAGACUUGAAGGAGCUGCACAAGGUGGACAUGCAUGGGAAGAACGACGAUGAUUGACGCGAGGUUCACAAGGACUACAUUGAAGCUUGGGAUCAUAGGAUGAAAUUCUUACCUAUCCAUGAACCAUUUUUAUCAAUGAACACGGCUGCCUGUUUGGAGUACUUGUCAUGGUUCAGAGUCAUUGACAAGCCAUAUCUACUAUCGAUGGAGGGGAGAAGUAGGCAACUUCAUCAAAAAAGGCAAUGAUGAUCGCCCUAGCAGUAGCAUAGGGCCAGAUACGGUCGCAUGACGGGUUCAUAAUCGGCUCCGCUCAGAGAAACGCCGUUUAUGUCUAUGCAAUAUCCCUGUACAUAUUUCGGGGCAUCAACAUCCCCCGCAUCUACACCCCCAUGCCGACAUUGAUAUCGGCCCAAGUGUCAGGCUAAAUGUCGAUGCAUGCACCAUCACCGAUGACGACACCAAUAUAGACGUUAAUUCAACAGCUAAUAUCAGUGUCAAUGCCCGGGUCAAUGUCGACGUAUUUGAGUUUUAUGGCACCUUACAGUUGCAUGCAGAUAGUGACACAAACACUGCCCGCAUCAUUGUUUUAUCGGGGUGGGUCAUCAGCGCAACCGUCUGUCGGUGGAGUGGAGGAUACACAAUGAGAGGCUAAGACGACAUCGCACUCGAGUACGGAGGAAGGCGAUAGAGAAUAAGUCGAAAGCGAACACGAUGACAAAUGUAGAGACAGAGAUGAGCAAGAGGGUAGGAAUGAAGACAAUGAUGAUGAAGAUGAUGACAACGAUCAAAUUUAUAGGUCAACACUCCGUUUGUGCAUAGAAAUCUUCCUCAUGUUUGUCAUCGACUGCCCUACAGCACACAUUCUCCCCGACAACACAAUUGAUGUAUUUUUUUAUUACUUCUGCGAUGUAAAUAUAUGUAACAUAAAUAAAGAAACCAUAAAUUUUCAUUCCAACACUA